UUCUGCUGUGCAUACAAUGCAAGGCCGAGAUGACUAGCUGCGACUAGAAGACGAUUAUUAAAGAGAAGAAGUUGUACGGAGAAUGGAAAGAGUAUAUGGCAUUCCCUGAAGAAUGGGAAGAUCUCCCUGAAUCAAAGAAUGAUCUGGAUGACUGUUCAGAAGGAGAUUUGAAUGACUCUGAAGAAGAAGUAGAGUCUAGGAAGGAUAAGAAGGAGAUUGAAGAAAGAAUGAGCCGAGGGGUUUGUUAGAUGUAUGCCCUAGAAGCCAACCAGGCCGACACAUGUAUUCUUUCUAGGACAUAAAUUUGUAUUUGACUUUAAAUAUUAUGAAUAACUUUGGGUUUUUUAUAUUUCCAUUCAUGUUGUGUAUGUGUCCAUGAAUCGUCCAAGGAAUUAAUAAAUGAUGACA
This 408-nucleotide long non-coding RNA is filed under the name Ananas comosus (pineapple). RNAcentral describes it as "long non-coding RNA (ACOM_LNC033115)". The record is from RNAcentral. Lineage: Eukaryota; Viridiplantae; Streptophyta; Magnoliopsida; Poales; Bromeliaceae.